Molecule: long non-coding RNA, 1103 nt
Organism: Alligator sinensis (Chinese alligator)
Lineage: Eukaryota; Metazoa; Chordata; Crocodylia; Alligatoridae
Exons: 3
Source: RefSeq, a predicted model, not a curated record
UCCCGGAGGCGAGCGCUGCCCGGGCUGCGGGGCUGCAGCGGGCGAGGCGCAGGCACGUCCCCCGCACGCGGGCGUGGGCUCAGGUCGCCGCGUCCCGGGGACCGGGGUCCGUAGGGAGCCCGCCGCCGCCUCUGGGCUCGCAUCGCACGGCCGCCAGCAUCGGAGGGAAAGCAACAGCCCGACACGAGACGUGUUCAACUCAGACAACCCAACGAGCACAAGAAGAUCCAAAAGAAAAAAAAAAAAAGAAAGAAAGAAAGACAGAAAAAAAAAAGAGCCCCCCCAAAAAAAGAAAAGAAAAAAAGCCACCCCCCACUCCCAAGUCCGGCGGCUCCAGCCCAGCCCAGUCCUGCCCUGCCCAGCCCAGCCUUGCCUGCCCCGGCGCAGCUCCCCGCUCUCGGCCAGGGGCAAAGAGAAAACGAGAAGUGUCCGCACGGGGAACCAACAAGGGAUCGGGGAAGAGAAACAACCCGAGCCGGAGCAGCCCCGGCGCGGCGCGGAGCACAUCUCCCGGGCGUUGGGAAGUCACCGCUCCCCUCCUGCCGCCCGGGAAGCGGAGGGGGGAGGGGGGAAACUUUUCAGUGGUAUUUUCUGGUAAUCCUGGCUCUUCAGAGAGAUUAUUCAAAGAAGAUGUAAGUACUAGAUAAAAAAGUUAAAAAAAAUGUUAUUAGCUGUCAAUGGGCUUUCACUUGUGAUGGAAUACAGUUAUUUUUGUUUAUUUUGGAGCACUAUGAGAAAUCAAGAAGAUAAUACAGCAUGUCUCUUUUGGGUAAAACUCCUAUCAAGGUCAUAACUGGAGUGUAUAGAAGCAACCAGAACGUAAUCUGGAAGAAUCGUACACAAGCAUAUGAGUACUGGAAUUGUAUCUGUUUAAAGGAAUCAUGUAUCACAACAGAGGAUGCACUGUAGUACUAGAAUCUAGUUCAAAGACUAUACCAAUUUAAAUUUAGCAAUACAGUAUUAAAGGAAUAUUCCUUGGAAAUAAAAACAUUAUAACAUUAAAAAUAAUACUAAUGUGUCCAUUUUCUGACAGGCAAUAUGUUAAGUGUUUUUACUGUAUCCAAUAAAUAAUAGAGAUGGGCAUGCAUGCAACCCUGGGCCCC